Long non-coding RNA from Gossypium arboreum, 420 nucleotides. RefSeq lists it as uncharacterized. Lineage: Eukaryota; Viridiplantae; Streptophyta; Magnoliopsida; Malvales; Malvaceae. The record is from RefSeq and is a predicted model, not a curated record. The transcript has 2 exons.
CAUUUUGCAGAAAAUUCCAAAAUCUCUUCUUUUUUUUAGGGUUUUAAAACCCCCCCAUUUUCGCCUCUUCCAUGGCCAAACAUGGAUUCCCCGGCGAUCCUCCAUGCCCAUGCCACUAAUCGGUGACCGGUACUACACGAGGUGGGCUCCUUUUGGUCCUCCUCCGAACGGAGGUCGAAGACGGAGCCUUCGCGGCCCACCACGACGGAAGAGACGAGGAAAGGCCCCGGGAGGUUCGUCGGAGCACCUCAAACAGUGAAUCGGAGGUGUCAAAGGCUGACGGUUGGUUGGUGAGAAGGCGAGGCAGCGCGUGUGGAGGAGGCCGAACGGCGCCUAGGGUUUCCCUCUUCUCCUUUGGCUGAAAAAUGUUUAGGAUAGUUGGGCUAGUUGGGCUUCAGGGUUUUCUUUUAAUUGGGUAUU